UACGUAGGGUGCAAGCGUUAAUCGGAAUUACUGGGCGUAAAGCGUGCGCAGGCGGUUUUGUAAGUCUGUCGUGAAAUCCCCGGGCCCAACCUGGGAAUUGCGAUGGAGACUGCAAGGCUAGAAUCUGGCAGAGGGGGGUAGAAUUCCACGUGUAGCAGUGAAAUGCGUAGAGAUGUGGAGGAACACCGAUGGCGAAGGCAGCCCCCUGGGUCAAGAUUGACGCUCAUGCACGAAAGCGUGGGGAGCAAACAGG
RNAcentral lists this ribosomal RNA (253 nucleotides) under uncultured bacterium. RNAcentral describes it as "partial 16S ribosomal RNA". It matches the Rfam family "Bacterial small subunit ribosomal RNA", at positions 524 to 776 of the family's 1533-position model. The record is from RNAcentral.